AGCGGGUCUGAGUGCAGUGGUGUUUACAACUAAUUGAUCACAACCAGUUAUAGAUUCUGUUUUUCCUUCUUCACUCCCCCUGCUUCACUUGACUAGCCUUAA
This 102-nucleotide Y RNA is filed under the name Propithecus coquereli (Coquerel's sifaka). RNAcentral's name for it is "Y RNA (ENSPCOG00000002229.1)". It matches the Rfam family "Y RNA". From Rfam's summary of the family: Y RNAs are components of the Ro ribonucleoprotein particle (Ro RNP), in association with Ro60 and La proteins. The record is from Rfam by way of RNAcentral. Lineage: Eukaryota; Metazoa; Chordata; Mammalia; Primates; Indriidae.